AACGAACGCUGGCGGCAUGCCUAACACAUGCAAGUCGAACGAGACCUUCGGGUCUAGUGGCGCACGGGUGCGUAACGCGUGGCAACCUGCCCUUAGGUUCGGAAUAACUCCCCGAAAGGGGUGCUAAUACCGGAUAAUGUCUUCGGACCAAAGAUUUAUCGCCUUUGGAUGGGCCCGCGUUGGAUUAGCUAGUUGGUAGGGUAAAAGCCUACCAAGGCGACGAUCCAUAGCUGGUCUGAGAGGAUGAUCAGCCACACUGGGACUGAGACACGGCCCAGACUCCUACGGGAGGCAGCAGUGGGGAAUAUUGGACAAUGGGCGAAAGCCUGAUCCAGCAAUGCCGCGUGAGUGAUGAAGGCCUUAGGGUUGUAAAGCUCUUUUACCCGGGAUGAUAAUGACAGUACCGGGAGAAUAAGCUCCGGCUAACUCCGUG
RNAcentral lists this ribosomal RNA (433 nucleotides) under uncultured bacterium. Its description in RNAcentral is "partial 16S ribosomal RNA". It matches the Rfam family "Bacterial small subunit ribosomal RNA", at positions 29 to 507 of the family's 1533-position model. The record is from RNAcentral.